This 97-nucleotide small nuclear RNA is filed under the name Neogale vison (American mink). RNAcentral's name for it is "Neovison vison (American mink) U4 spliceosomal RNA (ENSNVIG00000024255.1)". The stretch from base 1 to 81 matches the Rfam family "U4 spliceosomal RNA". Rfam says of the family: U4 small nuclear RNA (U4 snRNA) is a component of the major U2-dependent spliceosome. The structure of U4 snRNA from yeast and human has been reported. The record is from RNAcentral. Lineage: Eukaryota; Metazoa; Chordata; Mammalia; Carnivora; Mustelidae.
AGCUUUGUGCAGUGGCAGUAUCAUAGCUAAUGAGGUUUAUCUAAGGUGUGAUUACUGUUAAUUAAAAACUCUUCCAAUAUGAUGUACAACAGGUGCC